This 218-nucleotide ribosomal RNA is filed under the name uncultured bacterium. RNAcentral describes it as "partial 16S ribosomal RNA". It matches the Rfam family "Bacterial small subunit ribosomal RNA", at positions 114 to 334 of the family's 1533-position model. The record is from RNAcentral.
UGCUUCGGAAUCUGCCCUUCAGUGGGGAAUAACCAGUCGAAAGAUUGGCUAAUACCGCAUACGAACUACGGUUGAAAGCAGGGGAUCGCAAGACCUUGCGCUGAUGGAUGAGCCGAAGUCGGAUUAGCUUGUUGGUGGGGUAACGGCCUACCAAGGCGACGAUCCGUAGCUGGUCUGAGAGGACGACCAGCCACACUGGGGACUGAGACACGGCCCAG